Molecule: long non-coding RNA, 3118 nt
Filed under: Homo sapiens (human)
Lineage: Eukaryota; Metazoa; Chordata; Mammalia; Primates; Hominidae
Description: HSALNT0408659
Source: RNAcentral
GAUUUGAGGUUCCAAUUAAAACUGUGUUUGGGCCAUUGCAUUACUGCCUGCUAGUGCUUAAUCUUCACCGAAAAUCUCGUCACUUAUUUUAAAACAAAAGAAGAACAAAGAUGAAGUAAAGAACAACGCCGAGUCUAUGUCUUCCACAGAUCACCAUUUAAGUUAAGUUUAUCAAAUUUGUGUUGAUUACUUAUUUCAUUCUAGGCAAUGCCUCUAGGUUUGGGGAUAUAGGAUGAAUAAAACAUGACUUUUAUCAUCUUGGAUCAUACAAUUAUUGAGGAAGCCAAGCAUGUAUAUCAUUUGAAUACGAUCUGUUGAGCAUUCUGAAAGAGAUCUUUGCAACAUGGUAUUGGAAACUUAAAGAGGGAGAUUCAACCCACCUUGGCAGGGAGGUUAAGCCAAUGAAAAGACACUUGAAAAGAUAAUGCCUAAGCUAUCAAAAAAUGAGUGGAAAACAGCCAGGCAAAAAAAAAAAAAAAAAGAUGCAGAGUUUUAUAGAACAGCAGGAAGAAGAGUACAAAGGCACAGAUAUAAUUAAAAUGAAGGUCAUCUCCCUUGGUGUGUGAUAUGGCAAUAAAACAAGAAUAUUUCCUGAAGAAAAAGGAAGGUUUCCUGAAUGAGUUAAAAGUUGAUAGAAGUCUUAAAGCAUCAGUAUGAGUGAUCCAAAUAAAGAUGUAGGACAGAAUGUUUUCUAAGUGGAAAACAUAACAUUUGAAACUAGUGUUUGUUUAUAACCUUGCUGGACAUCCAUUUGCAAGGCAUAAAUCAAAAUGAAUUUAAGAAUCAAUGGUCUUUUUUUCUUUUCUCUACAUUGUAAGUAGAUGAUGCAUUUAUUCCCACUUCUUUAUACUCUGGGAAAGUCAUAGAAACAUAAAAUUGUAAAAGUGAAGGAAAUUUACUUACUACCAUAUUCAUAUCCCCAUUUUCUGGAUGAUGAAACUGAAGCUCAAAGGGUUGAUGCAACUUGUUCAAGGGUAAGCCAUUUGUUAUUUGUAGAGCCUUGAUAAGAUCCAAUAUCCUUUGUAUCAGCUGGAAUACUUGAAAACUGAAGCAUUUUAAUAUUCCUUCCCUCAAUUCAAGUGGAUAGCCAUUAGAGCAGUACAGUAUACUGGUUAACAGUGCUGGUUCUAAAGUUGAAAUAUCUGCUUUUCACCACUUAGGUGCCAAGUGACUUUAGGCAAGUGAUAUAAUGUUUUUGCUUCAGAUUCCUCAUCCACAAAGCGAUACUUAAUAAUGUAAAGUGCUUAGAUCAAUGCUUAGCACAUAGUAAGCAUUAUAUAAGUGUGCUAUUAUUAUCUGUAUUUAGGUAGUCAAAUAUUAACAUGUGCAUAGAUUAUGGUGUGGAUAAUCUUGCAAAUGAGUCCACUAUCCAAUUUUUUUAGAAUAUGUUAAAAUGACUACCACAUUGCCAAUUUAAUCAAAACCUUUUUGAUUUAUUUUUUUUCUUAAUUUCCACUUUCAUUUUAGAUACAGGGGUACAUGUGCAGGGUUGUUAUAUGGGUAUAUUUCACCGAUCUAGUGAGCAUAUGUAUUAGUCCAUUCUGACAUUGCUAUAAAUAAAUACCCGAGAGUGGGUAAUUUAUAAAGGAAAGGGGUUUAAUUGGCUCAUGGUUCUGUAGGCAGGCUGCACAGGAAGCAUGAUGGCAUCUGCUCAGCUUCUGAGGAGGUAUUUAAAAAAACUUACAAUUAUGGUAGAAGGCAAAGGGGGAACAGGCAUGUCACAUGGCUAGAGCAGGAGCAGGAGAGAGUGGAGGGAGGUGCUAUAUUCUUUUAAAGGACCAGAUCUCAUGAGAACUCACUCACUAUCAUGAAUACAGUACCAUUAGGGUGCUGUUGCUAAAUGAAUGAUGCUAAGCUAUUCAUGAGAAAUCCUCCUCCAUGAUCCAAUCAUCUCUCAACAGGCCCCGCCUCCAACACUGGGGAUUACAUUUCGACAUGAUAUUUGGGUGGGACAUCCAAACCAUAUCAACAUAGAAACCAAUAGGUAGUUUUUCAACCCACACCCCCUUCCCUAACUUCCCUCACUAGUAGUCUGCGGUGCCUAUUGUUCCCAUGUUUAUGUUGCCACGUGCUCAAUGUUCAGCUCCCACUUUUAAGUGAGAACAUGCAGUAUUUGAUUUUCUGUUUCUACAUUUAUUUGUUUAGGAUUAUGGCCUCCAGUUCCAUCCAUGUUGCUGCAAAGGAAAAGAUUUCAUUACUUUUUGUAUUCCAUCGUGUGUAUGAACCACAUUUUAUUUAUCCAAUCUAUCAUUGUUGGGCACCUAGACUGAUUGCACAUCUUUGUCAUUGUGAAUAGUGCUGCCAUGAACAUGCAUGUGUCUUUUUGGUAUAAUUAUCUCUCUCCUUUUGGGAGUAUGACUACUAAUAGGAUUGCCAGGUCAAAUAGUAGCUGUGUUUUAAGUUCUUUGAGAAAUCUCCAAACUAUUUUCCACAGUGGCUAAACUAAUUUACAUUGCCUCCAACAUUAUAUAAGCAUUCCCUUUUCUCUGCAACGUGUCGACAUCUGUUGUAUUUUUUGACUUUUUAAUAAUAGCCCUUGUGACUGGUGUGAGAUGGCAUCUCAUUGUGGUUUUUAUUUGCAUUACUCUGAUGAUUAGGAUGGUGAUCUUCUUUUCAUAUGUUUGUUGUCUUCUUUUGGGAAGUGUCUGUUCAUGUCCUUUGCCCAUUUUUUAUUGUGGUUCUUUGGUUUUUGCUUGUUGAUUUGUGUAAGUUUCUUAUUGAUUCUGCAUAUUACAUAAUCCCAUUUACAAUAUCCACAAAAAAUGUAAUAACUAGGAAUACAGCUAACCAAGGAGGUGAAAGAUCUCUACAAUGAGAAUUACAAAACACGGCUGAAAGAAAUCGGAUAUGACACAAAUAAAUAGAAAAACAUUCCGUGCUCAUGGAUUAGAAAAAUCAAUAUCAUUAAAAUGGCCAUACUGCACAAAGAAAUUUAAAGAUUCAAUUUUAUUCCUAUCAAACUGCCAAUGUCAUUCUUCACAGAAUUAGAAAAAAACUAUUCUAAAAUUCAUAUGUAACCCCAAAAGACCCUGAAUAACCAAAGCAAUCUUAAACUAAAAGAAAAAAAGCCAGAGACAUCACAUUACCCAACUUCAAGCUAUACUGUAAGGUGAUAGUG